Molecule: ribosomal RNA, 492 nt
Filed under: uncultured bacterium
Lineage: Bacteria
Description: partial 16S ribosomal RNA
Rfam family: Bacterial small subunit ribosomal RNA
Source: RNAcentral
AGUGAACGCUGGCGGUAGGCCUAACACAUGCAAGUCGAACGGCAGCACAGUAAGAGCUUGCUCUUACGGGUGGCGAGUGGCGGACGGGUGAGGAAUACAUCGGAAUCUACUUUUUCGUGGGGGAUAACGUAGGGAAACUUACGCUAAUACCGCAUACGACCUACGGGUGAAAGCAGGGGAUUUUCGGACCUUGCGCGAUUGAAUGAGCCGAUGUCGGCUUAGCUAGUUGGCGGGGUAAAGGCCCACCAAGGCGACGAUCCGUAGCUGGUCUGAGAGGAUGAUCAGCCACACUGGAACUGAGACACGGUCCAGACUCCUACGGGAGGCAGCAGUGGGGAAUAAUGGACAAUGGGCGCAAGCCUGAUCCAGCCAUGCCGCGUGGGUGAAGAAGGCCUUCGGGUUGUAAAGCCCUUUUGUUGGGAAAGAAAAGCAGCAGGUUAAUACCCCGCUGUUCUGACGGUACCCAAAGAAUAAGCACCGGCUAACUUCGUG